RNAcentral lists this long non-coding RNA (1189 nucleotides) under Danio rerio (zebrafish). RNAcentral describes it as "si:ch211-207c6.5 (ENSDARG00000093054.4)". Lineage: Eukaryota; Metazoa; Chordata; Actinopteri; Cypriniformes; Danionidae. The record is from RNAcentral.
ACUGUAGUCAGCCGUCGGAGAAGGAUACACCUCAAGCUUCUGUGAUAAAAAAGUGUUUUAGUUAUUUUCCCCAUUUUAUAUACCCACAACAUGUUUUAUAGCGUCGUUAUGCUUUUAGUUACUGUGUUAUUCGAUUGAGUGACUGAACUCAGCUUCUGCUGUGUGUCCUCGAGACAGGGCCGGAGCAAGCUGAACUGCCGCUCUAGGCAAAGGAUGUUCACGGAUAUAACUGAAGACGCGGGUGGUGAGGGAGGUGUCGUGGACAGAUCUGAGGUCGCGGGUGGUAAGGAAGGUGUCGCGGGCAUACUGGGGACGCGGGUUGUGACGGAGGUGUCGCGGACGCCACCCUCUCUAUUCAGCAGCCUCGGUCACCUUUAUGGACGCGCCGGCCCUGCCUUGAGGCUGCUGCUGCAUGUCUUUGCGGCUCGCGUGAUGGUUAAUUCCGGUUUAGUUCAUAUUUGUGAAGAGAAUGUGAGUGCAUAAUGUCACUGUGUCGUGUCUGAAGAGCUCAUCUGGAAUCCCUAAAGGAGAGACCUUAACAUCUUUACUUUCAGCAGAGUUUUCUUGAAAAUAAAUCCUGGAAGAUGGUCAUAGGCUGAGAUGAAAGGGACUCUUCUAAGACCUCGGAUGUUCUAAAUGACUUUAAUCCUUGGAAAAUGUGAGCUUUGUCCAAAGACACUGAACAUUUGAUUGCUGAAAUUGGCAUACAGAGAGCAGAUGCCCUUCCAGCCGCAACUCAACACUGGUAAACACCCAUACACACUCUACGGACAGUUUUAAUUUUCCCAAUUAACCUGUACCGCAUGUCUUUGGACUUGUGGGGGAAACUGGAGCACUCAGAGGAAACCCACGCAAACACAGGGAGAACAUGCAAACUCCCAGCCGAGGCUCCAACCAGCAACCUUCUUGCUCAGCCGAUGCUCCACGCAGAGAUCAGAUAAUUCAGAAGAACUGAAGAACAUCUUCCCAAGACAUUUCAAGAAACCUGUCUGCAAAGCAUUAGUAAUAGGAAGGUUAUAGGUUCAUGUGCUGUAACACUGAGGUUGCUUUCAAAAAUAUUUCAUCAGUGAACUCUAGUGUAAACUAAAUUAAGUCAACAUUUGUUGGCAUUUUUAAUAACUUUUUUUAGUCUUAUUAUUAGUUGUGUCUGUCUUCCACAAAAUAAGGAUGUACCACACUGCCAAACACU